GGAAGGAUCAUUAGCAAAUGUUGUAUGUAUGGGUGGGUGGGGGGAGGAGGGAGGAUUGUGUAGUUGUUGUGUCAGUGGGAUUUGUCCCACUGCAUGCAGCCACACCACACUGACACCCACACCCACACCCACACUCACACCCAAACUACACCCACAUUUACCCCGAAAGAUCAGUCGGUCUUUGGGUCACACAUGAACGAAUGAAUGUCUAGUCAUGACAACGACACCAACAUAUUAUGACUUUUAACAAUGGAUCUCUUGGCUCUUGCAACGAUGAAGAACGCAGCGAAAUGCGAAACGUAAUGCGAUUUGCAUGCAUCUGUGAGUCAUCGAGUCUUUGAACGCACAUUGCACCGGCCACUUCCGGGUGGCAGGUAUGCCUGUUUGAGAAUCAUAACACUGCUUGGUUCCGAUAGUGAAUCAGAGAUGGCGAUUCAGCAGGGCUGGUUGCUGAAAUGGAUUAGAUUGGUUGAUUGCUGCCGCGUCGGGUCGCAAUGAGAUGGAGACGAUUAGUCUUGGACCAUUGCUGACUCUGAUGCGGCUGGCAAUCGCGCGGCCAGUCUCAGACCCGGGUCAACGACCACUUACUUAUUUUGGUCUCAAAUCAGGCAAGACUACCCGCUGAACUUAAGCAUAUCAGUAAGCGGAGGAAAAGAAACUAACAAGGAUUCCCCUAGUAACGGCGAGUGAAGCGGGAUGAGCUCAAAUUUAAAAUCCGAGAGGCUUCCUCUCUGAAUUGUAGUUUAAAGAGACGCUUUCUGGCGGGGUUGGACGUACAAGUCUCUUGGAACAGAGCAUCGCAGAGGGUGAGAAUCCCGUCUGGACGUCUGAUGGCCGCGAGGGUGAGGCGUCUUCGAAGAGUCGAGUUGUUUGGGAAUGCAGCUCAAAAUGGGUGGUAAAUUUCAUCUAAGGCUAAAUACUGGCAAGAGACCGAUAGCGAACAAGUACCGUGAGGGAAAGAUGAAAAGCACCUUGAAAAGGGAGUUAAAUAGUGCGUGAAAUUGUUAAAAGGGAAACGAUUGGGGCCAGUAUUGGCGGUGGAGUUGGGUGCAGGGGCGUUGUCCGUGCGUCUGAGCGCAGGGCAUUGUCCGUGCACCGCAUCCAUGGCCAAGUCAGCGCCGGUUUUGGCGCUGCAUUAAGGCCUGGGAAAGGUGACAUUGGUCCUCGGACCAGUGUUUUAUAGACCCGGGCUGGAACAGGCGCGGGGACUGGGGGAUUGCUGCGGGGGCGUGGAGUGCGGGUUUUGGUGGUGCCGGUCUGGACAGCGUGCUGACCAGCCGACAGUGCCGGGCCUCCGUCCGCAGACCCACUGCAGCAGGCUGACGAAAUGGCAUCAAACGACCCGUCUUGAAACACGGACCAAGGAGUCUAACGUAUGUGCGAGUAUUUGAGUGGCAAACUCGAAUGCGGACGAAAGUGACGACGUGGGAGCUCGCGUGUGUGUGUAUGUAGCGUACCACAUCGCAACGGUGCACCACGGGCCAGCCUGGCUGUCUUCAGUCAGGCCAGAGCCGGAGCAUAUCCGCUGGGACCCGAAAGAUGGUGAACUAUGCCUGAAUAGGGUGAAGCCAGAGGAAACUCUGGUGGAAGCUCGUAGCCGUUCUGACGUGCAAAUCGAUGGUCAAAUUUGGGUAUAGGGGCGAAAGACUAUCGAACCAUCUAGUAGCUGGUUCCCUC
RNAcentral lists this unclassified non-coding RNA (1677 nucleotides) under uncultured fungus. Its description in RNAcentral is "sequence contains 18S rRNA gene, ITS1, 5.8S rRNA gene, ITS2, 28S rRNA gene". The stretch from base 595 to 1677 matches the Rfam family "Eukaryotic large subunit ribosomal RNA", at positions 1 to 961 of the family's 3401-position model. The record is from RNAcentral. Lineage: Eukaryota; Fungi.